Long non-coding RNA from Lycium barbarum (goji berry), 9966 nucleotides. RefSeq lists it as uncharacterized. The record is from RefSeq and is a predicted model, not a curated record. Lineage: Eukaryota; Viridiplantae; Streptophyta; Magnoliopsida; Solanales; Solanaceae. The transcript has 2 exons.
AAUUCCUUAUCUCUUUAUUUAUGAAUUUUAUAUUUCAAAUUUGAGCAUCUAUUUUAUUUAUUGGAACCUUUAAAAGUUAUUCUAUAGUUUAAGAGUUGCCAAAACUUGACUUUUCAAAAUAUUGCAAAUUGACUCGAAUGAAAGGAUAUGACUCAUACAACUCUCCUAAAAUUAAUACUAUUUCGCUAGCUUGGACAAAAACUGAUCGAUUAUUAAAAAUAUGAGGACUAAAAUGAGUAUUUUAAAAACUUGUGAACUGUUUUGUGGACUUAUGGACUAUAUGGACUGAUUUAAGACUUGUGGACUGAUUUGGACAGUCAAAACUUGGACUAAAAUUGGAUUAAAACUAAUAAAAAAUAAAUAUAGUUGACCUAUGGACACUAAUAGUAUGCCUUAAAGUAUUUUCUACACUUAAAUAGAAAUUCUUUAAAAACUUAAAAUUUAAAAGGGUGGGCUUACGUGAUGUUCUACUUAGGUUAAAGGCCUUCGGGAGUUAACCUAGGUGUUCUAGUCCAAAACCCAACGCCCAAUUUUGGGUAAAAUUCUAGCACUUUCGUUUCUUCAAAAUAUACUAUCCAAAACCCAACGCCCAAUUUUGGGCAAAAUUCUAGCACUUUCGUUUCUUCAAAUAUAGUAUAUUUUGCAUGAAUGACUAACUUUUGUUGUGGAAAUGUAGACAGAAAUAUUUGUUUUUCACAAUAAACAAUUUAUAUCUACAAAGGCAUACUAUUAGAACCUGUAGGUCAAUCGUAUUUUAGGGAUCUUUAAUACCGGGGUAUCUAAUACCUUCCCGAGGGGAUCACCAGAACCCUUACCCGAACUUUGGUAAGAUUAGUAUUCUUUUAAAAUUUAACCGUUUUGAAUGAACCAUUUUCAAACUGGUUUUUCUUAAUUUCCUUAAAAUUAGGUGGCGACUCUAAACAAUAUCCAUUUAGAGCACCAUCACGUAGAGGUAUAUUUUUCCUUUUUUCCAGUACAUUUUUCUUUUUAAUGAGGCAAGUGCAAAUACGAAUCGGAAAAAAUAUCGACCCGCUACAGAUGACGACUCUGCUGGGGAACAAUUUAAGGUUCUAACUAUAAGGGUUCCAAUAAUUUGUGUGUUUGUAUAUAUAAAUUGUUUAAGUGAUAUAAAUUGUUUAUUUGUUUAAAUUUUCGCAAAAAUAUAAAUGUCAUUCAUGCAUGCAUACUCCGCCACUCCUGACAUUUAUUUUAUAUUUUUCCAAGGGUGACGAUGCGGGAUGACGGUCAUACCUUUACUAAAAAACCUUUUUGCUAUAUUCUUUAGAGAGCCCACCCCAGCUUGUCCGCUUGGGUAACCUGUGUUAUUGGCUUAAAAAUCACUUUAGAAUAAUUAGUGUAGAGCGAAGCCAAAUCCUUACUGAUAUAGCGCAUGCUGACCAUAGACUGGUUUGGGUAUCUCAGACCUACCUGAAUCAGACAUGAGAGAUACCUUACUGUAUUCAGAUGGUGUAAAAAACCUGAAUACACUGCAUCCCACUAUUUGCUCUUUGGAAGCAUUAUUGGGCCUAGUGUGAAAUAAAUUACUAUUCCUCGGGGCAGGGAACUAACAAAGUUCUGUCUUGCAGAUGUCUCCUAAUGUGCAGUUUGAUAUGAUUGUGGGUCCACCACCAGGUUUAGUGAUAUGGUGGGAAGGUUUGACUAAUGAUCAGAAGAAAGAGGUAAAUGGUUGCAUAGGGCAUCUACCUUCGUUGAUGAGUGUGACUGAGGAUCCAGGUCUGUUAGAGAUUAUUACUAGUUAGUGGGAUAAUGACAGAAUGGUGUUCAGAUUUGAGGAAAUAGAGAUGACUUCCACUUUAGAAGAGAUUAGAGAUUUCUUGGAAAGCGUAGGAAGCGCUAACAGGUCUAAAAAGAAGUUAGCUCAAAAUAUCCUCAUCCCUCACAAACCUACCCCAAAAGAAACCAAAGAUAUGUUUUCUGUCAACAAAGACGAUUAGGCAUAGGGGCCCACUAUAGCCUUUAGGGAGUUAUAUGGGGGGUAUUAAUCCAAACAGGGGUACGAAAACCACAUUCUUGAGUUUUCUUCACUCCAAUCCUGGGAAGCUAACCAAACGCUAGCCUUUAUAACCUGCUUAUUGGGAACCAUGGUAUUUCUACUAAAUGCCUCCCUAGCUAUUGACACCCGAGUUGUCUUUGUUGCCCACGCUGUUCUUGUGUAGGUACAACGAAUGAGCUUACCAAAUAUUUUGACAUCAUCCCUAUUAUCCUAUCAGACAUAUACCGAGCUUUGGAAAAGUGUCACAACCAUUAUUACUACUUAUAGGGUUGCAACCUCUUAGUCCAAUGGUGGGUACUCAAACAUCUCGAUAAGAGCGGUUUAUCCUUUCGCCGAGAUCCGGCCCUAAGAGAGGGUGAUUUGGGAGUCACCGCUGUGCCUUGUGGGGUUUAAGAUAAAAGAGGAUGGGCUCACAUCUUUUCCAGACUUACAGAAGAACAUAUCAGGUGGAGAGUACCUGAUUGUCAUUCCAAAACUAUUUGUGUUAAGAGCCGUAGGCGUCCAUAUUUGCCGCUUAUGGGCAUUAGAGGGAUCAGACCCUACGCACCAUUGAGAGUACUUAGACAGUUUGGUAUGAGAGAGGUUAUUCCAAAUGUGGGAAAUAUAGGAGAGUUUGUACGAGAUUAUGAAGGUCAUAUCGAAGGUAUAAAAGACGCCCAGAAAGAUUGGAAGAAUGUGAUAAGGGAAGAUAAGUUGGAUGAGGAUCCAAACAAUCCAAGUCAUGAUGAAAACUACUACGAGUGGCUUAGGGCUGAGCUAGCUGGUACUGCUACUCCAGGACCGUAUCUGUACAAAUUUCCUGUAGAUAGGGAAGCCGUGAAUGCAAUUCAGGUUAGACGAAUGAAACGACGGGUGGAAGGAAGAGAAGCAGAUCACCAAGCAAAAACAGAAUAUGACCAAGAGAUAAUUAAGAGUUUGACAGACGAGGCGGAUGCCUCAUUGAAGAGCUUAUAAUGGCUUUACACUUUUGUUAAGGAAGCCAUAGAUACAGGGACGUCAUUGACUGACGAUCAGAAGGGUUAGUGGAUCGGAACAACAUUCAUGUCAGCCCAUGUAGCCAUUUAGACCGCCCUUCGAAGGGCCAAGAAGGCACGAGAUGAUAGAGAGCAGAUUUCUGUCCGUGGAGUGGACUUUUUCUGAUUAUUGCAUUUUAUUUACUUAAAAAAGCCUUGUAAUCCCACUUGGAAAUAUAUUAUUAAUGAAAAGAACUAGGAUUUUUAUUUUUUUGUGAACAAUACAUUUGUUUUACAUAUGGCACAAUUCUGCUUCAUACGCCAGUAGCCUCGGAGCAACGAGGCAUAGGAAAGCUAAUUAUAUAUUGUCUAAAUGCUUAUUUGAUAUAACUACUUUGUGUGAAGAUCAUAUAUAUUGUUGAAACUCUUGAUUGGUCCACAUUCCGGACACUACCCAAAAGAAAAACCAAGAAAAUAACCCCUAAAACCGAAUUUAGCUCCACUUUUAAAAGGUUGAUUUGCUAAAAGGAAAUGGAGACUCCAGACAGCAUGAGUGCAACUUCACCUUACGUCAACCUAGUCAGUGAUGAUGAGAACAUAGAAGCGACAAGUGAGAAAAACUGACAGUGGGACGAUAGUAUGGCCCUGGCUACUGCUAGAAUGAAAGAAGCUGUCUAAAUUACUAAGGUGGCCAAUGAGAAAAUGAAAGAAGCUGAAACUCUCAUGGCUUAUGUUGAGGAGCUAACUAAGAAACACCCUGUCAAUCGGGUAAAAUGGGGAAAGACACCUGAAGCACCACUUGGGAGUUAUGUCCCACUCAAUCAACGAGAAGGGAUUGACCGCAUACCUUUUGGAGAUGACGAACUACUCAUCCCCAAUCUCAAAGUCUAUGGAGACCCGCGCGAAACUCAGCUCGAGGAACCUCCGGUUUCAUGCACAAUUGUUCUCAAGGGUAUGAGAUCACACAAUUGGGGUUCACCAGUAGAAAUAUCCAAACAAUAACUCCUAGAGACUUUGGGGAGUUUUGGAGUAUACACGCAAAGCCCAAAUCUAUUGCCGCCGUGUGCUCCUUCUAUGAUUUACAGAAAGUGCCUCUACCACCGAAGUCAGUCAGGACAUACAACCAACGAGUGUGGAGCAUUGGAAAUGAAGCUUAUCCAAUGGAUUGACCAAGGGAUAAUUAUCCAACUGUGCAGGCCCUACUAUUUCCUGACCCAUGACCAAGGGCAUAUAUGGAGUAUAAGCCAGCUGGGUCUCCUCCGUUGACUUGGGUUCGGUUUUACUCUGUGUUCUUGGAUAAGUAUGUUCCGCGUAACCUGAGGGACCAAAAAAAGGAUGAGUUCAUUACUAUUGAUCAGGUGAACUCAUCGGUUACUGUGUAUGAGUUCCGUUUCCACUCCCUAUCUCGAUAUGCCCUUCAGUUGCUGCCCAUUGAGGGGGAAAGGAUACGGCGGUUCGUGAAGGGGUUGAACACUGGGCUUCAGUUAUCGGCUCUUCAGCUUGUAGCCACUGGGCUUCAUUCCAGGAGAUAGUAGAGCAUGUCCAUACUGUUGAGGGUAUUAGGUAGGAGAGUCAUGCGAAGCAGGUAGAGAAGAAGGCCCGUAGGGGUGGGAUGUUCAGCAAAUCCUUCUCGAUGGGUUAGAGUUAAGAGGUAUAUUCAGGGCGUCCGGUUCAGUUCGCGAUGCAAGUGUCAGAUGGGGGCCCAUCAGGGGCAAACUAUCAGGCUUCCGGUCAUCAUGGAGGCUACGCUGCUUCAUCAGCUUUUAUUCAGUGGCCUACGUUGGAUCGUGCUUGCUUCGAGUAUGGUGAGAUAGGGCAUCUCAAGAGGUAUUAUCCCAAACUUAGACAGAGUGGGCAGGGGACUUAGUAUCAGGCUCCCCGAGCUCCGUUUGCACCAGAUCGAGAGGGUAAGGAUCUCGCACCGGCAGGGUGGAGCGCCCACACCGCGGGUACGGGUGGUGCCCAGCCUAGCCGAGGUGGUCCUCAGGUAGGUAGAGGCGAAUAGCAGCCCGGCAGGGGCGGGGCUUAUACUGGUAACGUUAAUCGCGGUGGUUCACAGGCGAUGGGAGGGCACAGUCAUUUGUACGCUUUCCCAGGUAGACCUGAGGCUGAGGCCUCUGAUGCAGUUAUCACAGGUGCUAUCUCAGUUUAUGACCGGAUGGCUUCUGUUUUUUUUUAUUCGGGCUCUAUUUUUUCUUAUGUAUCUACCUAUUUUGUUGUGGGUCUGGAUAUGAUGUGUGAUACCUUUUAUGCCCCUAUUUAUGUAUCUACUCCUGUUGGGGACUCUGUGGUGGUGGAUAGUGUCUAUCCUUCGUGUGCGAUUUCUUUUAUGAGGUAUAGUACUUGGGCAGAUUUGAUGAUCUUAGACAUGGUAGAUUUCGAUGUUAUAUUGGGUAUGAGUUGGUUGUCCCUGCAUUGUGCUAUACUAGAUUGUCAUUCUAAGACUGUUACACUAGCCAUGCCCGGGGCACCUAGACUAGCAUAGGAGGGGUAACCUUAGUCCUCUCCUUAAGAAAGUAAUAUCCUUUGUUCGUGCUAGGAAGCUAGUAGAGAAGGGUUGUCUAGCUUAUCUGGCACAUAUCCAUGACACCAGUGCUUAUACUUCAUCCUUUGAUUCGGUUCCAGUGGUAUGCGAGUUUUCAGAUGUGUUCCCCGCGGACUUACCUGGUAUGCCACCGGAUGCUCCUGUGUUGUUUGUUGAGAAGAAGGAUGGGUCUAUGUGCAUAUAUAUUGAGUAUCUUUAACUGAAUAAGGUAACUGUCCGAAACAAGUAUCCCAUUCCCCGUAUUGAUGACUUUUUUGAUCAGUUACAGGGAGCUUAUGUGUUCUCUAAAAUCGAUUUAAGGUCAGGGUACCAUUAGUUGAAGAUUCGAGCAGAGGAUGUUCCUAAAACCGCUUUUCGGACCAGGUAUGAGCAUUAUGAGUUCUUGGUUAUGUCUUUUGGGCUUACAAAUUCCCCAGCUACGUUCAUGGAUUUGAUGAACAGUGUGUUUAAGCCCUAUUUAGAUUCAUUCGUAAUAGUGUUCAUUGAUGAUAUCCUGGUGUACUCUAGGAGUAAGGAAGAGCAUGAGAAACAUUUGAGAAUUGCUCUUGGGGUAUUGCGAGAGAAGGAGAUGUAUGCUAAAUUCUCCAAGUGUGAAUUCUGGUUGUCUUCUGUGUCUUUCUUGUGGCAUGUUGUUUCGAAAAAGGGUAUUAUGGUGGGUCUUAGAAAAUUCGGGUAGUCAGGGAAUGGGCUAGGCCUACAUCAGUGACCGAGAUCCGUAGUUUCGUGGGUCUGGCUAGCUACUAUCGUCGGUUUGUGAGAGGGUUUGCCUCUAUUGCUUCUCAUUUGAACCGCUUGACUCAGAAAGAGGUACCGUUUCAGUGGUCCGAUGAGUGUGAGGAGAUCUUUCAAAAGCUCAAAACAUUGUUGACUACAACACCGAUUCUAGCAUUGCCCGUGGAGGGCAAGGAUUUUGUUAUUUAUUGUGAUGCUUCACGUUCUGGUUUGGGUGCUGUUUUGAUGCAGGAAAACAUGGUGAUUGCUUAUGCUUCUCGGCAAUUGAAGGUGCAUGAGAAGAACUAUCGUACUCAUGAUCUAGAGUUGGCAGCAGUGGUGUUUGCGUUGAUGGAGGCACUACUUGUAUGGUGUCCAUUGUGAAGUGUACACAGAUCAUCGCAGUUUGCAGCAUGUGUUCACUCAGAGGGAUCUGAACUCUAGGCAGCAGAGAUAGAUGGAACUGCUGAAAGACUAUGACAUCACUAUUCUAUAUCAUCCUGGUAAGGCAAAUGUAGUGGCUGACGCAUUGAGCAGGAAGUCAACUAGUAUGGGAAGUUUGGCUCGUUUGAUUUUUUCGGAGCGUCCGUUAGUUAGAGAAGUUCAGACUUUGGCUAAUAGUUUUAUGAGGCUGAAAAUUUCUAACACAGGCAAGGUGUUGGCUUGUGUUAAGGCUCGAUCGUCAUUUUUAGAGCAGAUUAAGGCUAAGCAGUUUGAGGAUGCUAAGUUGUGCAAAAUACGUCAUAAGGUGUUACGUGGUGAGGCUAAGGAAGUCGUGAUUAAUAAGGAGGCGUGCUGCGAAUUAAAGGGCGAGUAUGUGUGCCACAUGUGGGCGACUUGAUCAAGACCAUUCUGACAGAGGCUCACAGUUCAAGAUAUUCUAUACAUCCUGGUGCCACUAAGAUGUAUCGUGAUUUGAGACAACAUUAUUGGUGGAGUGGGAUGAAGCGUAAUAUAGUAGAGUUCGUUGCUCAGUGUCUGAACUACCAACAGGUGAAGUUUGAACAUCAGAAACCUGGGGAUACACUACAGAAGAUGCCUAUUCCUAAGUGGAAGUGGGAAAUGAUAGCCAUGGAUUUCGUAGUGGGUCUUCCGAAGACGCUAGGGAAGUUUGACUCUAUCUGGGUUAUUGUUGAUAGGUUGACUAAGUCUGCCCAAUUUUAUUACAGUGAAGAUAACUUAUGAUGCGGAGAAAUUAGCUAAAGUCUACAUUCGUGAGGUGCUUAGACUUCACGGGGUUCCUAUCUCCAUUGUGUCUGAUAGGGGCGCCACAUUCACAUCCAGGUUUUGGGAGUGUUUGUACGAGAAGUUGGGUACGAAGUUAGAUCUUAGCACAACCUUCCACCCUUAGACUGAUGGGUAGUCUGAGCGGACUAUUCAGGUUCUUGAGAAUAUGCUUCGUGCGUGCGUGAUAAAUUUUGGUGGGUAUUGGGAUCAAUUCUUGCCUUUGGCCGAGUUUGCCUACAAUAAUAGCUAUCACUUAAAUAUUGAUAUGGCCCCAUUUGAGGCGUUGUAUGGAAGGAGGUGUAGGUCUCCUAUUGGAUGGUUUGAUGCGUUCGAGGUGAGGCUGUGGAGUACCAACCUUCUGGGAGAGUCCCUAGAGAAGGUAAAGCUGAUUCAAGCGAAGCUUCUAGCAGCGCAGAGUAGGCACAAAGAGUAUGCGAACCGCAAGGUCCGAGAUCUUGAGUUUGAGGAAAGAGAACAAAUGUUGUUGAAGGUCUCACCCAUGAAGGGUGUGAUGAGGUUUGGAAAGAAGGGAAAGCUUAGCCCGAGGUAUAUUGGGCCGUUUGAGAUCCUCAAAUGUGUAGGAAAAGUGGCUUACAAGUUGGUUUUACCUCCGGGUCUAUCAGGCGUUCAUCCGGUGUUCCAUGUGUCGAUGUUGAAGAGGUACCACAGCGAUGGUUCCUACAUAAUCCGUUGGGAUUCGAUUUUGCUAGAUGAGAAUUUGUCAUAUGAGGAAGAGCCUGUUGUUAUCUUAGACAGGGAUGUUCGCAAGUUGAGGUCCAAGAAAAUUGCCUCCGUGAAAGUCUAGUGGAAGAAUCGUCCGGUGGAGGAAGCUACUUGAGAAACAGAAUCUGAUAUGCGUAGCAAGUACCCUCAGCUUUUCGCCGAGAUAGGUAACUCCUCCCAAGAUUUCUCAUCUUUGUCCGUUCGGGGACGAAUAGUGUUUUAAUUGGUAUCUGGUGUAACGACCCUUCCGGUCGAUAUAGAAAAUGUAAGAACCCCACCAAAUGUUACCUUUUCAAGGGUAGUACGAACCAGUAGAAACUCAAUCGUGUAAGCUUAUGACCUGUAACUUGACUUUUUUGUGGUUGUUACUUAAUUUCCUUUAGUCCGUCGGGGGGUGAUGUAGAAAAUUAAAACUACGUUGGGAAUUCUGAGGCCAUGGGUGGAUUCGUAGGGCGUCUUUAUGUAUUUGUACGUGCUUGUUUUGUGUUUUUGAGGCCUCGGAUGAAAUGUUGGGCGUAGGGGGAAACACUGAUCAAAAAGUCAAGCUCACUGCCCAAAAUGGACCGCUGCAGCGGUGGAAGUACUACGGCGGCGGUAGUACCGCGGCGGCUUGACUGCUGCCAGCAUCCAUCCAUGUCCUUGGUGGCUGCUGUGGCUGGCGGUGGACCGCUAUGGCGGCACCGCUAUAGCGGUGCACAGGCCACCGUAGCGGUCAAGCGGAUUCCCUUUGGUCCGCUAUAGCAGUCACUUGACUGCUAUAGCGGGACCGCUGCAGUGGCGUGAUGACCGUUGUAGCAGUCGACAGAAAACAGUGGCCCGAGAUUUUUAUACUUAGUCUUAUAUUCUCUAUUCACAAAACACCAACACACUUCCCAACAAGCACCUAGAGUGAAAUUCCAAGCUAGGGAAAGAAACUCUUGAAAGGUAAGUUUCAUCUAUUCCAUUCUCCAUCUAUUCUAUUCUAUCAUUCCAUUCACCUUUAUGAUUGUUAUCCCCUUCAUGGGUCUUUAAUGGUGAAAUUGAAAUAGAAACCCUAGAAUAUUAAUAAAGCUUCUAAACGUGAUUGGUUAUGGUUAUUACCCCUUAGUUAUCAACUAAAGGCUUGGGUUAAUUUCUCUUAAUCAUGAAUUGAACACUUAGAGUCAUAAACUAAGUGAAUGGAGACCUAGGGCUCUAUAAAAAUGGUAUCUUGACCAUAAAAACUGCUUGUAAUGGAAAUAUUGAUAGAAUGUUGUUAUAAUUUGAUGAUUAAUGAUUACUGAGGCCCUUGAUAAGUUGUUUAACACCUAGGAAAUCAUCCAACCCUUGGAAUGGGGUAAAGGGAAGGGUAUUCUUGCAUUGGUACUUGUGAUUUGAGUAAUUGUGACUCAUUGAGUCUUCUAUUUCUAGACUUUGAGCGUUCUGAGGCUUUAAGGAAAGGAAAGGCUGUAGCGGAGUGACUUGCGUUGUCCCAGCUCUACAUUGAGAUUGUGAUACGGAGACUGCUACCCGCCCUCACAUCUAGCGUGGAGGACGUUUGCUGACAGAUUUGGGGUGAGCUUCUUCCCAUGCCAGGCUGCCCGAAGAUCUUCUUCUUAUGAUGUCUUUUUGUAUUCUGGACAUUAUGGAUAAUUAUAGUCCGAUUUCAUUCCUUAGAAAUGUUUUAGAUUAGAGUCCUGUACGAUGACUUUCGGAUUUUGGGGAUUUGGUAAUAGUUAGAACUUCCGCACUUAUUUCAGUAUUUCAUGUCAUGACUUAUUCUGUUCAUUUGAUGUUUGAAUGAGUAAUAACUGAUUAGUUUGGUUAAUAUAAAA